CCUACGGGAGGCAGCAGUGGGGAAUAUUGCACAAUGGGGGAAACCCUGAUGCAGCGACGCCGCGUGAGUGACGACGUAUCUCGGUAUGUUAAGCUCUAUCUGCAGGGAAGAAAAUGACGGUACCUGACUAAGAAGCCCCGGCUAACUACGUGCCAGCAGCCGCGGUAAUACGGAGGGGGCAAGCGUUAUCCGGAUUUACUGGGUGUAAAGGGAGCGUAGACGGCAGCGCAAGUCUGUAGGGAAAACCGCGGGGUUAACCGUGGAACUGCUGUGGAAACUGGGCAGCUGGAGUGCAGGAGAGGUAAGCGGAAUGCCUGGUGUAGCGGUGAAAUGCGUAGAUAUUAGGAGGAACACCGGUGGCGAAGGCAGCUUACUGGACUGUAACUGACGUUGAGGCUCGAAAGCGUGGGGAGCGAACAGGAUUAGAUACCCUUGUAGUC
This 440-nucleotide ribosomal RNA is filed under the name uncultured bacterium. Its description in RNAcentral is "partial 16S ribosomal RNA". It matches the Rfam family "Bacterial small subunit ribosomal RNA", at positions 338 to 795 of the family's 1533-position model. The record is from RNAcentral.